RNAcentral lists this ribosomal RNA (467 nucleotides) under uncultured bacterium. RNAcentral describes it as "partial 16S ribosomal RNA". It matches the Rfam family "Bacterial small subunit ribosomal RNA", at positions 28 to 507 of the family's 1533-position model. The record is from RNAcentral.
GACGAACGCUGGCGGCGUGCUUAACACAUGCAAGUCGAACGGAAAGGCUCCAGCUUGCUGGAGUACUCGAGUGGCGAACGGGUGAGUAACACGUGGGUAAUCUGCCCUGCACUCUGGGAUAAGCCUUGGAAACUGGGUCUAAUACUGGAUAUGACCUUUCUCCUUAUGGGGUUUGGUGGAAAGUUUUUCGGUGUAGGAUGGGCCUGCGGCCUAUCAGCUUGUUGGUGGGGGGAUGGCCUACCAAGGCGACGACGGGUAGCCGGCCUGAGAGGGGGAUCGGCGACAUUGGGACUGAGAUACGGCCCAGACUCCUACGGGAGGCAGCAGUGGGGAAUAUUGCACAAUGGGCGGAAGCCUGAUGCAGCGACGCCGCGUGAGGGAUGACGGCCUUCGGGUUGUAAACCUCUUUCAGCAGGGACGAAGCGUAAGUGACGGUACCUGCAGAAGAAGCACCGGCUAACUAUGUG